Long non-coding RNA from Grammomys surdaster, 1477 nucleotides. RefSeq lists it as uncharacterized. The transcript has 4 exons. The record is from RefSeq and is a predicted model, not a curated record. NCBI's taxonomy places the organism in Eukaryota, Metazoa, Chordata, Mammalia, Rodentia, Muridae.
GAGGGACUAAGCUAAACUUGGAGACCACCCUUCCCGCGGAGAUGACAAAAGCCUUAGGCGUUUCCUUGCAGAUCUGGGGUGACUGACACCCACCCUCCACCGAGAGUCAGGGAAAGCUUGCUCACCAUGGUUGCUGCUUCGCGGCUGCUGGGCGGAUGGCGGAGGCGAGGAGGAGGUGUUGCUUCUUACAGCGCGACUCUUAGGCGGUCGAUGUAAGAGAACCUGCGGCACUUGGGCGGAUGCGGCUCCUUAUAUAGAGCUCGGUCACCAUGGGGAUGGGCCAGGGCCUUUUCCUGUUGGUCCAGACCCCUCUGUCUGCCCAGAGAAGCCGUGACAGGAGAGUGGUGAUUGGUGCAAGCGACAUGGUAUGAGGAAAUGCAACCCCCAUCAUCUUCGUUAUUUUCUAUCAGAGGGACUAGAGAUGACUGCUUCCAACAUGGUUCCCUGAGCCCUGCAGGAAGGAGUCUGAUAGAGACAGCCUGUUCAGGGCUGAGUGUUCCAAGAUCCCUCUCUGCACAAUGUCUGGCUGUAUUUGUGUUCCCAUCUGCUGCAGGAGGAAGCUUCUCUGAUGAUGGCAGAGCAAGUUACCCUUCCCAACUGUAUAGGGGAAAGUGGAAAUCAACAGCAAUGCUCCCAGAAGACUGGCAAUUACAGAAAUAUUUAAGAUGAUUUAAAGUCCCAAGUCUGGAGGCUGUGGGUGCAGCCCAGCCCAUAAACUGCUUAACCAGCUCAAACCGCAGCACCAGGUAAAACAAACCUGUUGACAGGUACACUGGGCAGAGGGAGAAGCAGAAAUACAAGGUCUUCCUCUGAUACAAAUUGAGCUUGAAGCUUGCCUGGGAAACAUAUGGCUGAGAGAGAAAGAUAGAGAUAGAGAUAGAGAAAGAGAGAGAGAUGGAACCCAUACUCCAUCCCUGAACCCCACAUACAGGAGUAGUCUAACUUCUGCAUGAGCUGUGGCAUGUGUACAUAUGUAAAAAAAUUAAAAAUCAAUACAAUACCCGAGUCAGAUACACAGCUCCAUUUCCUUCUGCUUCUCCUUCACAAUCGUAAAAUACAAUAGGAUUGAGAAGAAAUUAGAAUAUGUGUUCUUGACCAAAUUUAGAAGCCAAAUGGUCAGACAGACUCGUGUGCAGCUUUUCUUCUACACAUAAAUAAAUAUACAGAUAGAUUCAAAACCUACUCUGGGGGGCCGCAGAGGUGCUUAGUGGUUAGAGUACUAGCUGCUUUCCAGAGGCCCUGAGUUCAGUUUCCAGCAUCCACACCUGACGACUUCCAACUCCACGGUCUCAUGUCUUCUACCAGCCUCCACAGACAUGUGAAGAUAUGUGGUACGCCCUCACACGCACAUACACAUAAGUACAAAUAAAAACAAAUGUUAGAAAGGCGAAAUAAAACUGGGUGCUUGAUUCCAGUGCUCAGGAGGCAGAGGCAGGCCUCCUGGGAGCUCGAGGCCAGCCUGGUCUACAGAGUGUAA